CUGAAAUCACACCCUCCCACUUCAGACUCCCACUGAAUCACACCAACAACUGCGACAUAGCACUAGAAUGAUAUCACAUAUAGGUGUUUUUUUUGUUUGUUUGUUUUUUUCACAUUUCUUGUUAAACUAGUGGAGGGACGUGGGGAAACAGAAAUGGGAAAACACCACAUCCUUUGACCUUGACUGCUCCAUGGCCUUCAGUUUGCACUCUUGCUGCCCACUGCUGUAUCUUCAGCAUUGAGGAUCAGAUAACUGCAGGCACUAAAAUCAAGUCUAGGGCUCUCAGCUGGGAUUGCAGGGCUGAAAAACUGUACUCAAGUGAAUACUUCACCUACAAGCCACAACUAAUGAACUCAACAUUUGCAAUGAGAAGACAGACUGUUAUUGAAGUUGGCUGCAAGGCGGGGCCACAGAAACACACAUGGCUGGUGGCUAAUGAUCAGCGUGGCAGCUUUCCAUCAUUCAGCAGCCGGUGAGAGAGUAUAAAAGGGCCUACCUCCUCUAACAAAGCGGGAGACAGUCUCCGAAAUCAUGGACAAUCCAAAACACCCACCCAGAC
Molecule: long non-coding RNA, 559 nt
Organism: Ictalurus punctatus (channel catfish)
Lineage: Eukaryota; Metazoa; Chordata; Actinopteri; Siluriformes; Ictaluridae
Source: Ensembl